UGCAGUCAGUUAUGUUUGCUUCAGUAGGCAUAACUUUUUCAGCUUUCAGGGUGUCUAAAGCCAGUAAGAUAAUACCAAUAAAACCUUGCAUAUAUUCUGAAGGUGGUGGCCUUCCUUGAGUUCCCCAGGUACCACUACUGAAGGCAGUGUUGCCAACUGCUGAUGCUGGGGAGAAUGGAGGAGGUGGAAAUUCAGGACCACAAGGAUGCCAUUUGUUUGCUUGAUUGUUGCGUGUCAUAUGGCCUUUACGUGGUACAUUUAAGGUACCGAGAUUAGAAGACUCAAAAGAGACCUUUUUUAACUCUUCCAAAGCUUGCUGAUGGAAAUUAGGAGCAGCUUGGCAUUCAGGUAUACCUAGUUUACCAAUAUCAAGCACAUUUGUAGAUGAUGCCAAAGAAAGUUUAAUACCAUCAGGUCUGGGAUUCAUUGAAUAAUUACCAUGUGGAAAAGCAAGUUUUUGCAUAGAGAAGUUAUUAGGCCUCACAAGUUGAGUAUAGUGAUUCUGAGCACUACCUAUGGGAUUGCUGUCAUUACUCCCCGCAGGGUCAGAAUUACCAGGAAGGAAGUUGGGUGUAGACAAACUUGCAGAGACAACAGGCCCACUGCCUCUGAAGAAUUCAUGUGGAGCUUUCUUAAACUGCUUUGUUUGUGUGAAUUCUGAUUGAUAAGUGUAACUGUUGCCCUUAGUUUCUUGAAUUCCAACUGGCGCACUAAAGGCUCUUGAUAUGCCAGGCUGAUUCAGGGCAUUAUGAACAUAUUUUCCUUUAAACUUAGUAUCGCCGACCCUUACAUUAGUAAUUGAAUUGGGAUUUCCCAAAGAAAGGCUUCCAGAGCUAAGUUGAAUGGGUUCAGAAUAUCUGCUUUCAGAUGUUACAGCAAUGCAUUUACUACUAACAUUAGUUAGUUGUGUUGAAUCACCACUAGUAAGUGGGGCUCCUCCAGCUGAAAGGCUUGUCCAUAGCCACACAGUCUUUGCUGCAGCAGUAAGAGGUGCCGAUGCUUGUUGCGGCUGUGCCAAAAGUAUAUUAUAUCUCCUCAUGCGUAAUUGAUGGAGACAAUUAGAAAAAUCCCGAUCACCAGAAAUAAGCAAAUAAUUUGCAGGGGCAGGAUUGUCUACUGCCCAGAAAAGCAUAUCAACUAGAAUUUUCUUGUCACUCGCAUCUUUCACCCCAGCAGGGACAUGGUUGAGGGCG
RNAcentral lists this unclassified non-coding RNA (1193 nucleotides) under Hevea brasiliensis (rubber tree). Lineage: Eukaryota; Viridiplantae; Streptophyta; Magnoliopsida; Malpighiales; Euphorbiaceae. The record is from RNAcentral.